RNAcentral lists this ribosomal RNA (274 nucleotides) under uncultured bacterium. RNAcentral describes it as "partial 16S ribosomal RNA". It matches the Rfam family "Bacterial small subunit ribosomal RNA", at positions 523 to 796 of the family's 1533-position model. The record is from RNAcentral.
AUACGGAGGGAGCAAGCGUUAUUCGGAAUCACUGGGCGUAAAGGACGCGUAGGCGGGUUUGUAAGUCAGGUGUGAAAUCCUACAGCUCAACUGUAGAACUGCACUUGAAACUACAGACCUAGAGUAUGGAAGGGGCAGAUGGAAUUAGUGGUGUAGAGGUAAAAUCCGUAGAUAUCACUAGGAAUACCGAAAGCGAAGGCGAUCUGCUGGGACAUUACUGACGCUGAGGCGUGAAAGCGUGGGGAGCAAACAGGAUUAGAAACCCCAGUAGUCC